GACGAACGCUGGCGGCGUGCUUAACACAUGCAAGUCGAACGGAAAGGCCCUGCUUUUGUGGGGUGCUCGAGUGGCGAACGGGUGAGUAACACGUGAGUAACCUGCCCUUGACUUUGGGAUAACUUCAGGAAACUGGGGCUAAUACCGGAUAGGAGCUCCUGCUGCAUGGUGGGGGUUGGAAAGUUUCGGCGGUUGGGGAUGGACUCGCGGCUUAUCAGCUUGUUGGUGGGGUAGUGGCUUACCAAGGCUUUGACGGGUAGCCGGCCUGAGAGGGUGACCGGCCACAUGGGUACUGCGAUACGGCGCAGACUCCUACGGGAGGCAGCAGUGGGGAAUAUUGCACAAUGGGCGGAAGCCUGAUGCAGCAACGCCGCGUGCGUGAUGACGGCCUUCUGGUUGUAAACCGCUUUCGCCUGUGACGAAGCGUGAGUGACGGUAAUGGGUAAAGAAGCACCGGCUAACUACGUG
This 468-nucleotide ribosomal RNA is filed under the name uncultured bacterium. Its description in RNAcentral is "partial 16S ribosomal RNA". It matches the Rfam family "Bacterial small subunit ribosomal RNA", at positions 28 to 507 of the family's 1533-position model. The record is from RNAcentral.